GAUGAAGAACGCAGCGAAAUGCGAUACUUGGUGUGAAUUGCAGAAUCCCGUGAACCAUCGAGUCUUUGAACGCAAGUUGCGCCUCAAGCCAUUAGGUUGAGGGCACGUCUGCCUGGGCGUCACAUAUCGUUGCCUGAUGCCAGUUUCCUCGUGAUGGGUGACUGUGCAGGGCGAAUGAUGGCUUCCCGUGAGCAUUGUUGCCUCAUGGUUGGUUGAAAAUUGAGUCCUUGGUAGGGAGCGCCGUGAUAGAUGGUGGUUGAGUGACGAACGAGACCCAAUCAUGUGAGACCCCUACCGAAUUUGGCCUUCAUGACCCACAUGCGUCUUUGGAACGCUCAUGACGAGACCUCAGGUCAGGCGGGGCUACCCGCUGAGUUUAAGCAUAGCAAUAAGCGGAGGA
Molecule: unclassified non-coding RNA, 400 nt
Filed under: soil metagenome
Description: partial contains 5.8S ribosomal RNA, internal transcribed spacer 2, and large subunit ribosomal RNA
Rfam family: 5.8S ribosomal RNA (bases 1-122)
Source: RNAcentral